AAGCUCCCGGCAUGAAGCGCGGCGCUCCUGGCCUGCACCUUGGCGCGCGGAGCUGGCACUUUGGCGCGGUUGGCGACGGUGGGGAGAGCUGUAGAGUGUGAAGUUCCUUGUCUGCUGGCAGCCAGAGGCGACGAGUCUGGACCUCAUGGAAGUCCAGACUCUAGUCUGGGCGCGUCCCUUUUGACGGCGUUUCGCUCUUAUCACCCAGGCUGCAGUGCAAUGGCACGAUCUCGGCUGACUGCAACCUCUACCUCCUGGGUUCAAGCGAUUCUCCUGCCUCAGACUCCUGACUAGCUGGGACUACAGGAAGGAUGUCGAUUCUGCGCUUCUCAGUAACUACGUGAGUUGGGGCUUUCUCAUGUGCCAAGACUGGUCUCGAAGUACUGGACUCAAGCAAUCCCCCCACCUUGACCUCCCAAAGUGCUGGGAUUACAGGCCGAGCUAUGACACCCAGCCUUCAGUUAUACAUUUCAAAGAACGUAAAAUAAUUUCCAUUAUAUUCAUUUAUUCUUUCACUCAUCUAAAUACUUAUUGAGCAUGUACUGUGUGAACUGACGCUACGUGCCGGGGAUCCAGAAGUGAACGAGCCAGACGAGGUGCUGCCCUUGUGGACCUUAAAUUCUAUUUAGGGAAGAGAAACAAUAAACAUGUAAACACAUUCCAGAUUACCUGCAGCAAUGGACACACCUUGUAACAGAUACACAGGAAAAUUAGAAGGGGAAACUCUAGAUCAGUGCUUCUGAAAUUUUUAAAGCACAAUCACUUUGGGGUCUGGUUAAAAUGUAGCUUUUCCUUCAGUGGGUCUGUGGUGGGGCCUAAGACUCUGCAUUUCCAGAGAAAACACAACACAAAAUGAAAUGCUUGCAGGCAACACUGACGCUUCUGGUCUGAAGCCCACACUUGGAGAUCCAUAGCUGUGGGCAGAGAAGGGGUGCAGCAAGCUCCUCUAGCUUGAUGGUCGGGAAGGACCUUUUCCAGGAAUGAAGUUUUGAAUGAGAUCCUGAGUGAUGGUAAGCAAUCGGUCUCAUGAGCAAUGGCAAGUCAAAGGCCUUGAGGUAGGAAUGAGCUGUGGGUGUGCCAAGGAAGGCUGUCGAGGCUGGGGCAUGGUGAUUGAGGAGAGUGACAGGAGAACUGGGAGCGAGUCCAAUCAUUUACAUUAUUUAGGACCUUGUGUGUAGGCCAUGCCGAAGAGUUUGAAUUUUAUUCUAAUUGCAAUGAAAGACGUUUAGUAGCUUUCAAACUGGAGAGUGAGAUAAGCUUAUUUAUGAUCACUCUUCACUGCUGCAUAAAGAACAAACUGCUGGGGGCCAGAGUACAGACGGGGAAACGAUAUGCAAUCAAACCUCUUAGCCCUACUCAUCCCAGGCAGGAAUUCCAAUUUAAAUCACUGCCUUUGGCAACAGAAAUAAAUGGCAUACUGCCAAAAUUA
Long non-coding RNA from Pan troglodytes (chimpanzee), 1429 nucleotides. RefSeq lists it as uncharacterized. The record is from RefSeq and is a predicted model, not a curated record. Lineage: Eukaryota; Metazoa; Chordata; Mammalia; Primates; Hominidae. The transcript is spliced from 4 exons.